Molecule: ribosomal RNA, 468 nt
Filed under: uncultured bacterium
Lineage: Bacteria
Description: partial 16S ribosomal RNA
Rfam family: Bacterial small subunit ribosomal RNA
Source: RNAcentral
GACGAACGCUGGCGGCGUGCUUAACACAUGCAAGUCGAACGGAAAGGCCCUGCUUUUGUGGGGUGCUCGAGUGGCGAACGGGUGAGUAACACGUGAGUAACCUGCCCUUGACUUUGGGAUAACUUCAGGAAACUGGGGCUAAUACCGGAUAGGAGCUCCUGCUGCAUGGUGGGGGUUGGAAAGUUUCGGCGGUUGGGGAUGGACUCGCGGCUUAUCAGCUUGUUGGUGGGGUAGUGGCUUACCAAGGCUUUGACGGGUAGCCGGCCUGAGAGGGUGACCGGCCACAUUGGGACUGAGAUACGGCCCAGACUCCUACGGGAGGCAGCAGUGGGGAAUAUUGCACAACGGGCGGAAGCCUGAUGCAGCAACGCCGCGUGCGGGAUGACGGCCUUCGGGUUGUAAACCGCUUUCGCCUGUGACGAAGCGUGUGUGACGGUAAUGGGUAAAGAAGCACCGGCUAACUACGUG